Molecule: non-coding RNA, 71 nt
Organism: Danio rerio (zebrafish)
Lineage: Eukaryota; Metazoa; Chordata; Actinopteri; Cypriniformes; Danionidae
Source: Rfam
GCAUUGGUGGUUUACAGGUAGAUUUCUCGACUGCCACGCGGGAGACCCGGGUCGGAUUUCUGGCCAAUGCA